This 971-nucleotide long non-coding RNA is filed under the name Homo sapiens (human). RNAcentral describes it as "HSALNT0380319". The record is from RNAcentral. Lineage: Eukaryota; Metazoa; Chordata; Mammalia; Primates; Hominidae.
GUUAAGACAAGCAAGCCCACUCGCACAUGAAACCAUGACACUAUGGCAGGCCAACUUACUAGCUUUCAAGUAAGGUAACAUCUCAGACCAUCAUAGGUUUUGACAGGGGAAACUCUGAAGGACCACAGGAGUUGGAGGUUCCACGUAUCUCUAAGUAGUAACAUACGAUGGGUCCAAAACAGAAGAAAGAGAACUCAAGAUUCCCGAGCCACAGAGCUGUUGAUUGGAGGCUGACUCAGAGAAACCCUGGAUUCAGUGACAUACAGAGACAACAGGGACUUAAUCGCCUUCUGGACAAACAUAAUCUAUGCGACCUCCUCCCCAUAAGGUGCCAUAAGCAAAGUGAGCGGUUUGGAGAGAACACUGUACAUGACUUCCUGACUACAAUGGCCUGUGGCUGAUGAAGUACAGCACUUUGGUGGAAACAGGUACAGGAUCAGUAUGGGUUUUAAUUGAGGGGCUCGGCACCAAAUGACAGACUUGACACAUCCACCCCCACCAUGGAUGCUGUCCGUCCACUGUUGCACAAUGUCCUUCAGUGUCUAAUUUACAGAUCCAGCUGUAUUUCCCCUUCCACCUGCAUCCCUGAAGUUCCUCCCACCUGAAAACUUCACCUGACCCAAGAAAGCAAAGGAAAAAACCCGGAGAGCCAGCUCAUAGUCUGGUUCACUGUUUAACAGCCAGAAGCCAGAGCCUGCGUACUAGAAGUGGAUGCCCAGGAAGUACUUGUGAGCUGACUAAGAAUGUAAGAACGCCACCCACUUCAUUCAGGAAAGUGAGGCAGGAUUCCAUGGAGUAUGAAUGACUGCACAUGGAACAAGCAGGUUAUCAUUUAUAUUCAGCAAGGGACCUCCAUGAACAGGACAUUUGGGGAGCUGCUAUCAAACAUCAGAACUUCUGACACUGUGCACACAGUCUUAUAUUGUGCCUUGUCUGUUGUGAUGUCUCACUACAGUAAUGAUUAAGAUGAU